This 1010-nucleotide long non-coding RNA is filed under the name Monodelphis domestica (gray short-tailed opossum). Its description in RNAcentral is "lncRNA (ENSMODG00000036895.1)". Lineage: Eukaryota; Metazoa; Chordata; Mammalia; Didelphimorphia; Didelphidae. The record is from RNAcentral.
UUAAAAGACACCGUCAGGGGCAGGGGGCAGCUGGGUAGCUCAGUGGAUUGAGAGUCAGGCCUAGAGAUGGGAGGUCCUAGGUUCAAAUCUGACCUCAGACACUUCCCAGCUGUGUGACCCUGGGAAAGUCACUUAACCCCCAUUGCCUAGCCAUUACCACUCUUCUGCCUUGGAGCCAAUACACAGUAUUGACUCCAAGAUGGAAGGUAAGGGUUUAAAAAAAAAAAAAAAAAAAAAAAAUAAAAAUAAAAAAAUGUCAGCUCAUAUUAUCAUGCCGAGAACCCUGGGAAGUAGGAGCUAUCAUAAGGAUAGCUCCCCAUUAUUAAAUGGGAUAACCCCAUUUUACAGGUGAGGAACCUGAGUGUUAAAUGGCUUGCCCAGGGGUUGCCCAGUAAGUGUCUGAGCCUGGAUUUCAAUUACCACGUCUUCUUGACACUAGGUCCCACUCUCUGUCCACCAUUUCACCUGUCAUCCUUGAGACAAUGUGAGCAAGGGUGGCACAGAGCUCUACCUACACUGUAGCAUUUGAACUUUAUUCCAUCCCUGGGAGGUAGGUACUUAAGGGAUGAUUCUCCCCAUUUUGCAGAAGAUGAAAAUGAGCUUAGAAAUUUCCCCAUGAUCACCUGGCUAGUCGUUGCCAGAGGCCAUGCUACUUUUUCAUAGCUUGUUCCCUACAACCUUCUUGGGAAGAAGGUGACACUUAUUUAAUAGCAGUUCCUAUUUCUAUACUACUUUAAGGCUCAUGGGAAAUGUUUUUCCCACAAUGACCCUGCUAGAUGGGGAAUGCAUAUUACUCUUAAUUUAGAUGUACAGAGAAAACAGGUCCAGAAUGAUUUGUUCUAAUCAUGCAGCUAACAAGUGGCCAAACUAUGACUCUUUGUAGCAUCCAGAAGUUCUCUGAGAAGGGUGUGAAGGAUGGAGCCUAGACCUCUGACUUCAUUCAUUGUAGGGAAAUCCCAUGAAAACAACUCCUUUCAUGAAGGAAGAUUGGAAGGAAAGAAGAAAGCGAG